CAGUCUCCGUAGAGACUGUCAAAAAUUGCCAAUGCCGACUAUAUUGCAAGUCGUCACGGCGGGGUAUUGGGAAAAGUUUUCAAUUAGCAAUAAUCGCGCCUCGGAUAGACCUCAUUGGCUACGAUACUGCCACUGCGCAAAGCUAACAAGCUACGCCCCCUGCUCAUCACUCCCAAUAAGCCAGCUUCCUAUUACGCAAAGAAUGAAGAUGAGCUUUGGGUUGACUUUCAGAUCAGCAAAAGGCCGUUGGAUCGCAAACCCCAGCCAGCCGUGCUCCAAAGCCUCCGUUGAGUUAUUUGUGCCAGCAAGUCCUCCUUUGGACCCUGAGAAGGUCAAAGAGUUACAGCGCUUCAUCACCCUUUCCAAGAGACUCCUUGUGAUGACUGGGGCAGGAAUCUCCACCGAGUCGGGGAUACCAGACUACAGGUCAGAAAAAGUGGGGCUUUAUGCCCGCACUGACCGCAGGCCCAUCCAGCAUGGCGAUUUUGUCCGGAGUGCCCCAAUCCGCCAGCGGUACUGGGCGAGAAACUUCGUAGGCUGGCCUCAAUUCUCCUCCCACCAGCCUAACCCUGCACACUGGGCUUUGAGCACCUGGGAGAAACUUGGAAAGCUGUACUGGUUGGUGACCCAAAAUGUGGACGCCUUGCACACCAAGGCCGGGAGUCGGCGCCUGACAGAGCUCCACGGAUGCAUGCACAGGGUCCUGUGCUUGGAUUGUGGGGAACAGACUCCCCGGAGGGUGCUGCAAGAGCGUUUCCGAGUCCUGAACCCCACCUGGAGUGCUGAGGCCCAUGGCCUGGCUCCUGAUGGUGACGUCUUUCUCUCAGAGGAGCAAGUCCGGAGCUUUCAGGUCCCAACCUGCGUUCAGUGUGGAGGCCGUCUGAAACCAGAUGUCGUUUUCUUCGGGGACACAGUGAACCCUGACAAGGUUGAUUUUGUGCACAAGCGUGUAAAAGAAGCCGACUCCCUCUUGGUGGUGGGAUCAUCCUUGCAGGUAUACUCCGGUUACAGGUUUAUCCUCACUGCCUGGGAGAAGAAGCUCCCGAUUGCAAUACUGAACAUUGGGCCCACACGGUCAGAUGACUUGGCGUGUCUGAAACUGAAUUCUCGUUGUGGAGAGUUGCUGCCUUUGAUAGACCCACGCUGACCACAGCCUGAUAUUCCAGAACCUGGAACAGGGACUUCCACUUGAAUCUUGCUGCUAAAGGAUCUGGCUCUGUCACCCAGGCUGAAGUGCAAUGGCCUGACCUCAGCUCACUGCAACUUCUGCCUCCCAGGUUCAAGCCAGCCUCCCACCUCUACCUCCCAAGUAGCUAGGACUACAGGCAUGCACCACCAUACCCAACUAAUUGUUUGUAUUUUUUGUAGAGACAGGGUCUCACUUUGUCACCCAGGCUGGUCUCGAAGUCCUGAGCUCAAGCCAUCCACCCGCCUCAGCCUCCCAAAGUGCUGACAUUACAGGCAUGAGCUACCACGCCCGGCCAAAACUUUCUUUUUGAGAUAGUCUCGCCCUGUUGCCCAGGCUGGAGUGCAGUGGUGUGAUCUUGGCUCACUGCAUCCUCUGCCUCCUGGAUUCAAGUGAUUCUCCUGCCUCAGCCUCCCGAGUAGCUGAGGUUACAGGCACGUACCACUACACCUGGCUAAUUUUUUAUAGUUUUGGUAGAGAUGAGGUUUCACCAUAUUGGCCAAGCUGGUCUCAAACUCCUGACCUCAAGUGAUCUGCCUGCCUUGGCCUCCCAAAGUGCUGGGAUUACAGGCGUGAACCACCGUGCCUGGGCGUUUUUUUUGUUUUGUUUUGUUUUUGAGAUGGAGUCUCUCUCUGUAGCCCAGGCUAGAGUGCAGUGGCAUGAUCUUGGCUCACUGCAACCUCUGCCUCCUGAGUUUAAGCGAUUCUCCUGGCUUAGCCUCCCGAGUAGCUAGGACUACAGGCGCCCACCACCAUGCCCGGCUAAUUUUUGUAUUUUCAGUUCACCAUGUUGGCCAGGCUGGCCUUGAACUCCUGGCCUCAGGUGAUCCACGUGCCUCAGCCUCCAAAAGUGCUGGGAUUACAGGCAUGAGCCACCGAGCCCGGCCCCAAAGCUAAUUUUUUAAGGUACAUUAAGCUGUAGUGUUUGAAAUACUAUGGUUUUCAAAUUCUAGACAUGUAGCUCUUUAAGACACUAAAUGUUCCAAAAUCUGCCAUUGCUUUUUCCCCACUUUUAAAAAUAGUAAUUUUGAAAUAAUAAUUUACACAAAAUAAAGCAUAUUCUUUAAAAGUGUACAAUUGACUUAUUUUUUGGUGCACUCACAGAGGUGUGCUUUGAUCACUCCUAUCUAAUUCCAGAACAUUUUUAUCAUCCCAAGAAGACAUUUUGGGCCCAUUAGCAGUCACUUCCUGUUUCCCACCACUGCCAUUAUCACCUG
RNA transcript from Symphalangus syndactylus (siamang), 2403 nucleotides. It is a transcript of the gene named sirtuin 4, with no coding region annotated. NCBI's taxonomy places the organism in Eukaryota, Metazoa, Chordata, Mammalia, Primates, Hylobatidae. The record is from RefSeq and is a predicted model, not a curated record.